RNAcentral lists this ribosomal RNA (119 nucleotides) under Mesocricetus auratus (golden hamster). Lineage: Eukaryota; Metazoa; Chordata; Mammalia; Rodentia; Cricetidae. The record is from RNAcentral.
ACGCCCCACCAUACCUCGUGAACGCACCCAAUAUCCUCUGAUCUCGGGAGGUAAGCAGGGGCUGGCCUGGUUAGUACAUGGAUGUGAGCCUGCCUUGGCAUACCGGGUGCUUGGACAGU